ACUCCUACGGGAGGCAGCAGUAGGGAAUCUUCCACAAUGGACGAAAGUCUGAUGGAGCAACGCCGCGUGAACGAUGAAGGCUUUCGGGUCGUAAAGUUCUGUUGUAAGGGAAGAACAAGUGCCGCAGGCAAUGGCGGCACCUUGACGGUACCUUGCGAGAAAGCCACGGCUAACUACGUGCCAGCAGCCGCGGUAAUACGUAGGUGGCAAGCGUUGUCCGGAAUUAUUGGGCGUAAAGCGCGCGCAGGCGGCCUCUUAAGUCUGAUGUGAAAGCCCCCGGCUCAACCGGGGAGGGCCAUUGGAAACUGGGAGGCUUGAGUAUAGGAGAGAAGAGUGGAAUUCCACGUGUAGCGGUGAAAUGCGUAGAGAUGUGGAGGAACACCAGUGGCGAAGGCGACUCUUUGGCCUAUAACUGACGCUGAGGCGCGAAAGCGUGGGGAGCAAACAGGAUUAGAUACCCUGGUAGGCUCUGCU
RNAcentral lists this ribosomal RNA (474 nucleotides) under uncultured bacterium. RNAcentral's name for it is "bacterial SSU rRNA". It matches the Rfam family "Bacterial small subunit ribosomal RNA", at positions 335 to 801 of the family's 1533-position model. The record is from RNAcentral.